RNAcentral lists this ribosomal RNA (253 nucleotides) under uncultured bacterium. Its description in RNAcentral is "partial 16S ribosomal RNA". It matches the Rfam family "Bacterial small subunit ribosomal RNA", at positions 524 to 776 of the family's 1533-position model. The record is from RNAcentral.
GACAGAGGGGGCAAGCGUUGCUCGGAAUUACUGGGCGUAAAGGGCGCGUAGGCGGGAUGGCAAGUCGGUCGUGAAAUCCCUCGGCUCAACCGAGGAACGUCGAUCGAUACUGCUGUUCUUGAGGAUUGCAGAGGAGACUGGAAUUCCUGGUGUAGCGGUGAAAUGCGCAGAUAUCAGGAGGAACACCAAUGGCGAAGGCAGCACUCUGGGACGUGACUGACGCUGAGACGCGAAAGCGUGGGGAGCAAACAGG